GGGGCUUCGGCCCUGAGUAGAGUGGCAAACGGGUGAGUAACACGUGGGUGACCUGCCUUCGAGUGGGGGAUAACGUCCCGAAAGGGACGCUAAUACCGCAUGACAUCCUGCUUUUGGAGAAGCGGAAAUCAAAGCUGGGGAUCGCAAGACCUGGCGCUUGAAGAGGGGCCCGCGCCUGAUUAGCUAGUUGGUGGGGUAACGGCUCACCAAGGCAACGAUCAGUAUCCGGCCUGAGAGGGCGGACGGACACACUGGGACUGAGACACGGCCCAGACUCCUACGGGAGGCAGCAGUGGGGAAUUGUUCGCAAUGGGCGCAAGCCUGACGACGCAACGCCGCGUGGAGGAUGAAGAUCUUCGGGUCGUAAACUCCUGUCGUGCGGGACGAAUAGUUCCGGGGUGAACAACCUCGGAGCCUGACGGUACCGCUAAAGGAAGCCCCGGCUAACUCCGUGCCAGCAGCCGCGGUAAUACGGGGGGGGCAAGCGUUGUUCGGAAUUACUGGGCGUAAAGGGCUCGUAGGCGGCCAACUAAGUCGGACGUGAAUCCCCAGGCUCAACCUGGGAACUGCGUCCGAUACUGGAUGGCUUGAAUUCGGGAGAGGGAUGCAGAAUUCCAGGUGUAGCGGUGAAAUGCGUAGAUAUCUGGAGGAAUACCGGUGGCGAAGGCGGCAUCCUGGACCGACAUUGACGCUGAGGAGCGAAAGCCAGGGGAGCAAACGGGAUUAGAUACCCCGGUAGUCCUGGCCCUAAACGAUGAAUGCUUGGUGUGACGGGUAUCGAUCCCUGUCGUGCCG
This 795-nucleotide ribosomal RNA is filed under the name uncultured Acidobacteriota bacterium. RNAcentral describes it as "bacterial SSU rRNA". It matches the Rfam family "Bacterial small subunit ribosomal RNA", at positions 74 to 848 of the family's 1533-position model. Lineage: Bacteria; Pseudomonadati; Acidobacteriota. The record is from RNAcentral.